UCAAGCGACUAAGUGCAUGUGGUGGAUGCCUUGGCGAUGUCAGGCGAAGAAGGACGUGCAAGCCUGCGAUAAGCUCCGGGGAGCUGGCAAUGAAGCUUUGAUCCGGAGGUUUCCGAAUGGGGAAACCCACUCCGUAAGGAGUAUCGUUAUCUGAAUCCAUAGGGUAACGAAGCGAACCGGGUGAACUGAAACAUCUAAGUAGCCCGAGGAAAAGAAAUCAACCGAGAUUCCCAAAGUAGUGGCGAGCGAAAUGGGAAGAGCCUGCAAGUGAUAAUGACUACGUUAGUGGAAGCGUCUGGAAAGUCGUGCCGUAGAGGGUGAAAGCCCCGUACACGAAAACCUGGUCAUGGUACUAAGCUUGCGACAAGUAGGGCGGGGCACGUGAAACCCUGUCUGAACAUGGGGGGACCAUCCUCCAAGGCUAAAUACUCGACAUCGACCGAUAGUGAACCAGUACCGUGAGGGAAAGGCGAAAAGAACCCCGGGAGGGGAGUGAAAUAGAUCCUGAAACCGCAUGCAUACAAACAGUGGGAGCCUCUUAAUGGGGUGACUGCGUACCUUUUGUAUAAUGGGUCAGCGACUUACGUUCAGUAGCGAGCUUAACCGAAUAGGGGAGGCGUAGGGAAACCGAGUCUUAAUAGGGCGAUUAGUUGCUGGGCGUAGACCCGAAACCGGAUGAUCUAUCCAUGGCCAGGAUGAAGGUGCGGUAACACGCACUGGAGGUCCGAACCCACUAGUGUUGAAAAACUAGGGGAUGAGCUGUGGAUAGGGGUGAAAGGCUAAACAAAUCCGGAGAUAGCUGGUUCUCUCCGAAAGCUAUUUAGGUAGUGCCUCACGUAUCACCUUCGGGGGUAGAGCACUGUUUAGGCUAGGGGGUCAUCGCGACUUACCAAACCUAUGCAAACUCCGAAUACCGAAGAGUGCGAGCGUGGGAGACAGACAUCGGGUGCUAACGUUCGGUGUCGAGAGGGAAACAACCCAGACCGCCGAUUAAGGUCCCCAAGCCAUAGUUAAGUGGGAAACGAGGUGGGAAGGCUCAGACAGCCAGGAGGUUGGCUUAGAAGCAGCCAUCCUUUAAAGAAAGCGUAACAGCUCACUGGUCGAGUCGUCCUGCGCGGAAGAUGUAACGGGGCUUAAACUAUGCACCGAAAUCGCGGAUAUGUACUUGUACAUAUGGUAGGAGAGCGUUCCGUAGGCCGUUGAAGGUGGCUUGUAAAGGCUGCUGGAGGUAUCGGAAGUGCGAAUGCUGACAUGAGUAGCGAUAAAGCGGGUGAAAGGCCCGCUCGCCGAAAGCCCAAGGUUUCCUGCGCAACGUUCAUCGGCGCAGGGUGAGUCGGCCCCUAAGGCGAGGCUGAAAAGCGUAGUCGAUGGGAAACUGGUUAAUAUUCCAGUACCUCUAUGUAAUGCGAUGGGGGGACGGAGAAGGUUAGGUCAGCCGGGUGUUGGACGUCCCGGUUCAAGCGUGUAGUCGUGCCUGGUAGGCAAAUCCGCUAGGCUAAGAUGAGGCGUGAUAACGAGUGGUCUUGUACCGCGAAGUGAUUGAUACCCUGCUUCCAAGAAAAGCCUCUAAGCUUCAGUUACAUAGAGACCGUACCGCAAACCGACACAGGUGGGCAGGAUGAGAAUUCUCAGGCGCUUGAGAGAACUCGGGAGAAGGAACUCGGCAAAUUAGCACCGUAACUUCGGGAAAAGGUGCGCCCCGUUAGGUUGUAGCAACUUGCUUGCGAAGGCCGAUGGGGUUGCAGUGAAAAGGUGGCUGCGACUGUUUAACAAAAACACAGCACUCUGCCAACACGAAAGUGGACGUAUAGGGUGUGACGCCUGCCCGGUGCCGGAAGGUUAAGUGAUGGGGUGCAAGCUCUUGAUCGAAGCCCCGGUAAACGGCGGCCGUAACUAUAACGGUCCUAAGGUAGCGAAAUUCCUUGUCGGGUAAG
RNAcentral lists this ribosomal RNA (1934 nucleotides) under human oral metagenome. RNAcentral's name for it is "bacterial LSU rRNA". It matches the Rfam family "Bacterial large subunit ribosomal RNA", at positions 3 to 1980 of the family's 2925-position model. The record is from RNAcentral.